Molecule: long non-coding RNA, 1429 nt
Filed under: Sinocyclocheilus grahami
Lineage: Eukaryota; Metazoa; Chordata; Actinopteri; Cypriniformes; Cyprinidae
Description: lncRNA (ENSSGRG00000029006.1)
Source: RNAcentral
GAGACUUGAUUCUAUCCAUGGGUUGUUGAUUGGAUGGUGGAAGAUAUGAAUGCGAGCUUUAGGUUGAUCCUAUGCAUGGAUGACUAGUUCAAUAAUAUGCAUUUAGAACAUCUGAUGCCAACUUUAAGUCAUCAUCCAUUUUGCAUGUCUGUCUUCCCUCACCUCUAGUUUGUCUAUCACUCCAUCCAUCUCUGGUAAUGACAUCAUCAUCCCUGUUGGAAUGUUUGUGUCACCCUUCUUCCAUUCCUCAUAUCCCAGGGCACUGAAUUAUGGCACACUGGGAUCUCUGAUGGCUAAAGAUCUUCUCCACCUUCUGUUCCCUGAUAUCCACAUGCAGGCCAACAAUCCAGAGUCAGACAGCAUGUGCAUAUGGUCCCAUUAUCUGAGUGUGACCAGGGAUCCAGGAUGGGUCGGCACAUUCUCUCUUUCCCCCUCUAAACAGCAGGAGGUUUGGGUGCAGUACUCUGCUCUACAAGUGGCACUGAGUGCUUAUAAGAUGAGUUUCACAAGGCAUCCAGCAGACUCAUCUCUAUCAGGCCUUUCUUACCUUCACCUGUUCCUCUCCUCCUUUACAAAGGUAACGUGUGACGCUGACUCCUACCAUGAGUUCAUGCCCUUUGAACCUUCCUUCCUGGUGACAGUCCUGUGUUCAAACUCCGGCUUCUGCCCCAAAACGCUGACCUGUGUGAAUAAAUCUCAGAGUUAUCCUCAUGAGAUGUGUCAGAGUCGAACGCUGCACUAAAUCUGGGAGGAACUCGUGUCUGCUGAGACCUUUUGGAGCUUGUUUGGGAUUAUUGAACCAUUGGAGCUGCUCACUGUUUAGUAAAAGAAGGUCAUUCCAGAGAUCAUAAAGCUUUUUAUAUUCACUUGUUAAGUAAUGGGUUUUGGAAAAGUCACGGAUACAUACAUUUAAGCAAUAUUAUCACAUUUGAUAAAUCAUGUACAGAAUGAUGAACAGUUAAAGCCUGGUGGAUGUGUUCUCUCACAGCACUUAGAAAAUUGACCAUGCUUUUACUAUAGUAUUGAAUUUUGGGGGAGAUGUUGAUUCAUACAAAAUAAUAUUUUUGGGAAGGGAGGGAAUCUCAUACAUUUUUUUUAACUACAACUAGCAUAGUUUGUUUACAGAGUUACACUGGUUUACAUGUGGUUACUGUAAAUACCACAGUUAAACUGGUUACUAUACAAGAUUUAUGGUACAUUUUUACCAAGGAAGGAGAGCAUUUCACCAAGUAAAAGUGAUUCCAGUUGUAAUUCAUUAAUGAUGGAUAAUUGUGCUCUUUAUUCUCGCUAUUGUAAAUACAGUUUGAUGUCUAAAGUCUGAAUGUAUCAUGAAUGCCACUCUUAUUUUUGAAAUGUAUUAUGUUUGGAUGAAACAUAAAAAAAAGUAUUUUUUGCAUGUGUGCUUUUUGGUCUGUAGUCAAGGAAUUUC